This 253-nucleotide ribosomal RNA is filed under the name uncultured bacterium. Its description in RNAcentral is "partial 16S ribosomal RNA". It matches the Rfam family "Bacterial small subunit ribosomal RNA", at positions 524 to 776 of the family's 1533-position model. The record is from RNAcentral.
UACAGAGGGUGCAAGCGUUGCUCGGAAUUACUGGGCGUAAAGCGCACGCAGACGGCCUGGUAGGUCGGAUGUGAAAGCCCUGGGCUCAACCCAGGAACUGCAUCCGAAACCGCCGCGCUCGAGUAUGAGAGAGGGAAGCGGAAUUCCUGGUGUAGAGGUGAAAUUCGUAGAUAUCAGGAGGAACAUCAGCGGCGAAGGCGGCUUCCUGGCUCAUUACUGACGUUCAGGUACGAAAGCGUGGGUAGCAAACAGG